This 253-nucleotide ribosomal RNA is filed under the name uncultured prokaryote. Its description in RNAcentral is "partial 16S ribosomal RNA". It matches the Rfam family "Bacterial small subunit ribosomal RNA", at positions 524 to 776 of the family's 1533-position model. The record is from RNAcentral.
UACAGAGGUCUCAAGCGUUGUUCGGAUUCAUUGGGCGUAAAGGGUGCGUAGGUGGCGCCAUAAGUCAGGUGUGAAAUCUCGGGGCUCAACCCCGAAACUGCACUUGAUACUGUGGUGCUGGAGUACUGGAGAGGAGAUUGGAAUUUACGGUGUAGCAGUGAAAUGCGUAGAUAUCGUGAGGAACACCAGAGGCGAAGGCGGUUACCUGGACAGUUACUGACGCUCAGGCACGAAAGCAUGGGGAGCAAAAGGG